GUGCUUGCUUCGGCAGCACAUAUACUAAAAUUGGUUCGAUACAGAGAAGAUUAGCAUGGGCCCUUCGCAAAGAUGACACACAAAUAACAAACCUGGAUAGGAUGGAG
This is a small nuclear RNA of Suncus etruscus (white-toothed pygmy shrew), 107 nucleotides long. The record is from RefSeq and is a predicted model, not a curated record. NCBI's taxonomy places the organism in Eukaryota, Metazoa, Chordata, Mammalia, Eulipotyphla, Soricidae.